RNAcentral lists this ribosomal RNA (274 nucleotides) under uncultured bacterium. RNAcentral's name for it is "partial 16S ribosomal RNA". It matches the Rfam family "Bacterial small subunit ribosomal RNA", at positions 523 to 796 of the family's 1533-position model. The record is from RNAcentral.
AUACAGAGGGUGCGAGCGUUAAUCGGAAUUACUGGGCGUAAAGCGCGCGUAGGCGGCUACUUAAGUCAGAUGUGAAAUCCCCGGGCUCAACCUGGGAACUGCAUCUGAUACUGGGUAGCUCGAGUUUAGGAGAGGGAAGUAGAAUUUCAGGUGUAGCGGUGAAAUGCAUAGAGAUCUGAAGGAAUACCAGUGGCGAAGGCGGCUUCCUGGCCUAAAACUGACGCUGAGGUGAGAAAGCGUGGGUAGCAAACGGGAUUAGAAACCCGAGUAGUCC